Long non-coding RNA from Ricinus communis (castor bean), 659 nucleotides. RefSeq lists it as uncharacterized. The record is from RefSeq and is a predicted model, not a curated record. NCBI's taxonomy places the organism in Eukaryota, Viridiplantae, Streptophyta, Magnoliopsida, Malpighiales, Euphorbiaceae. The transcript is spliced from 3 exons.
AAACUACUAGUUUUAAGAUAAUCUUCAUAGAUACAUAAUUUUAAAUAAGUUUACGUAAUUUUGAUGUAUUAAGCUAAAAAAUUCCAAAACAAAGUAAACCCUAAUUCUGUCAUCUUCCUCUCAUCUCAAACUCACAUCAACUCCACCACCCACCCUCUUCUUCACGCCGCCGCUGCUGCCGUCCACGCCGCAGCUGCUGGCGUCGCCCUUGCUGCUGCCGUCGUUGUCAGCCGCUGCUCCGUCUCAGAAUUCUGUUAGCUGACAAACUGAUACAGAGAGGGUCAACAUAAGAUUAUCCCAAAGACUGGCCAGCCAAUACCCUCAAGUGACGGCGACUUACUCUUUGGUUAGAUCACCCUGACGCAGGAGAUAAUGUCUCAAGAUGAAGCCACAGCCCUAAAGAAGGCUUUACAGAAGUGUUUGGAGGAGAACAAAGAGGAUCAUAACAAAUGUAAAUCCAAGAUGGAUACCUUCGUUUCUUUUCCUCCUAAUUCUCGUCCGGGAAAGCUGUUGCCACCUCUAAGGCUCAGGAGUGGUUCUUUGACUGAUGUGUAAAUCAAGAAAGUAGUGGUAACCCACUUUUCAAUAUUCUAUGGAUGUAAUCAUUUCCUUAUAAUUAUUCUAUGAAGUAGGCCAUUGAAGGAGUCAAACUGCCUGAA